AUGGUUACGCCUCACUCCCCAAUUGUUGUUAUGGGUCUUGAUAGGGCAACAAUUGAAAGAUAUCCUAAAACUCAGCUUGGUGUAAGUGGACGAUUGCCUAGGCCUAAUGAUAAUAUAUGCUCUAUAUGCCUUUGUGAGUAUCAACCCAAUGAAGUAUUGAUGACUAUUCCUGAGUGUAAUCACUAUUUUCAUGCUAAUUGUAUAGAUGGGUGGCUCAAAACAAAUGCUACUUGCCCUUUGUGUAGAAAUUUUCCAGAGAUGUCUAUUUCGUUUGCUUCAGUUUUUCCUGUAUCUCCAACUUCGUAA
Non-coding RNA from Vicia faba (fava bean), 306 nucleotides. Lineage: Eukaryota; Viridiplantae; Streptophyta; Magnoliopsida; Fabales; Fabaceae. The record is from the annotation of a GenBank genome assembly.